UACGUAGGGACCAAGCGUUGUCCGGAAUCAUUGGGCGUAAAGCGCGCGUAGGUGGCUCCGUAAGUCCGUUGUGAAAGUCAAAGGCUCAACCUUUGAAAGCCGAUGGAUACUGCGGAGCUAGAGUACGGAAGAGGCGAGUGGAAUUCCUGGUGUAGCGGUGGAAUGCGCAGAUAUCAGGAAGAACACCCGUGGCGAAGGCGGCUCUCUGGGACGGUACUGACGCUGAGACGCGAAAGCGUGGGGAGCGAACAGG
This 253-nucleotide ribosomal RNA is filed under the name uncultured bacterium. Its description in RNAcentral is "partial 16S ribosomal RNA". It matches the Rfam family "Bacterial small subunit ribosomal RNA", at positions 524 to 776 of the family's 1533-position model. The record is from RNAcentral.